RNAcentral lists this ribosomal RNA (238 nucleotides) under Escherichia coli. RNAcentral describes it as "partial 23S ribosomal RNA". It matches the Rfam family "Bacterial large subunit ribosomal RNA", at positions 323 to 563 of the family's 2925-position model. The record is from RNAcentral. Lineage: Bacteria; Pseudomonadati; Pseudomonadota; Gammaproteobacteria; Enterobacterales; Enterobacteriaceae.
UGUGUGUUAGUGGAAGCGUCUGGAAAGGCGCGCGAUACAGGGUGACAGCCCCGUACACAAAAAUGCACAUGCUGUGAGCUCGAUGAGUAGGGCGGGACACGUGGUAUCCUGUCUGAAUAUGGGGGGACCAUCCUCCAAGGCUAAAUACUCCUGACUGACCGAUAGUGAACCAGUACCGUGAGGGAAAGGCGAAAAGAACCCCGGCGAGGGGAGUGAAAAAGAACCUGAAACCGUGUAC